GCAGAGUUGGUGUAGUGGUUAUCAUGUCAGCCUUACACGCUGAAGGUCACGAGUUCGAACCUCGUACUCUGCA
This 73-nucleotide transfer RNA is filed under the name Cardiosporidium cionae. RNAcentral describes it as "tRNA-Val". It matches the Rfam family "tRNA". From Rfam's summary of the family: Transfer RNA (tRNA) molecules are approximately 80 nucleotides in length. Lineage: Eukaryota; Apicomplexa; Aconoidasida; Nephromycida. The record is from RNAcentral.